RNAcentral lists this long non-coding RNA (1520 nucleotides) under Marmota monax (woodchuck). The record is from RNAcentral. Lineage: Eukaryota; Metazoa; Chordata; Mammalia; Rodentia; Sciuridae.
ACAGAAUCUUCUGAUUGAUCUACCCAUAGAGCCUUGUAGACUAGCUGGCUGGAUCUAUGAGUGGAAGGAAUACAAGAGACCCACCCAGGGUUCCCAGCCAAGCAGAGCACUGGAACUCGUGUCUCAGGCCUCCAUGUCCCCACUGUCACCAGCUGGUCACGUCAGCUUCCAUGGCCCCCCAUCUCCCACAGCAGACAGCCAUGUCAGGUUUCCCCUCCUACUUUGGCUAAUCCCCUAUUUUGCUUGACUUAGAAUCAAAAUGCAGGAGGACUGCACCCAAACGGACUAAGCUUGCUUUAAUCACUGGCAGGUAAUUUGAUAGAUGGCUUGGCCAGCACCCACUGUAGGAAUUAAGCAAAGCCUGAGUUGUGGAGACAGUGGGAAAUAACCUUGAGUGACUGUGGUAAGCAGGCGGCCUCAUUUCACCCGGGGGACAGCACCUGCCCCAGCUCUACAACUCAAAUUGGAAGCCUGCAUGCAGUGUCUGCCAGGUGGAUGGGUGACAUUUCUCUCCCAGCCUCUUCCUCCAAAGACAGGACAAAUGUGUCAGCAGCGGGGCCUCAGGAAGAACCAGCAGACCCUCAGCUUCUCUUCUGACUUACCUGGGGAUAGGACAUCUAACAGUUGAGGAAGGAGUGACUGAAACUGUGCCCCAGUGUCCCCUCCUACCAGUUCAGGUCACAUUUCCCCCAGGCCAGCCAGGUAAGCAUUCCAGCAAAUGAGCUCAUUUGUUGGUUCCCUCAUUUGUUGGGGGAACACAAGAGAAGCCAGGGCCUUUCAGCAGAUGAGAGUGGCAUUAUAAAAUUAGUGUUUUAUGGGCCACAUGCAGAAACUGACCAGUUACCCAAGACUCUGCUGCUUCUGCACAGGGGCCAGUUGCAGAGGAGAAACUUCUAGAUUCUUUCAUCCUGAUGAGGAUUGUUAGCUCUGACUUCAGAUAAGCAGAACAAACAAGCCUCAGCCCAAGUGGGAACUGGUUCUGCGCCCUCGCUUUGCUUUUCUAAGUCAUCAAAGCCAAGUUCCUAGGGCCUGACUGUCUCACGGUACUUUCUGAUGGUUUCAUUGUUUUGUUUAUUGUGCUUAUGACAAGUGCUAACAGACCGCUUUCAAAGUGUGUUGAUAUUUCAGUUGUUUUUGAAUGGCCCUUCUGUUUUUCUGCAUCUGGACAGCAUUACAGUCUGGCCCCAGGGAACCACUGGGUUCCUAUAAAAGUGUACCAGGUCCCCUUAUGCGGAAAACACUGGCCAUGACAAGAUCAGACACCCUUCUGGGCAGGAACACACACCAGAAAUGAGAGCAGAAUCAUGAGCAGCCUUCAGGAGCCAGGAAGGACAGGCCUGGGCUGGGAAGAGGCCAGUGAGCAUUGCCAAGAGGACUGUGGGUGUUCUUUUUCUAUGCAUGGACAUAUUGUGACCUUCCCAAGGGACAAACUCUACCUAGCAGGGUGCCUAGCACUGGGCCAUGUUACUAAGUGUUUGUUGUCAGUCGAUCCCCGCCCCCCCCCCCCUUCCCGCUACCUU